GAUUCUGCCAGUAGUCAUAUGCUUGUCUCAAAGAUUAAGCCAUGCAUGUCUAAGUAUAAGCAAUUAUACCGUGAAACUGCGAAUGGCUCAUUAAAUCAGUUAUCGUUUAUUUGAUAGUACCUUACUACUUGGAUAACCGUGGUAAUUCUAGAGCUAAUACAUGCUGAAAACCCCAACUUCGGGAGGGGUGUAUUUAUUAGAUAAAAAACCAACGCCCUUCGGGGCUUCUUGGUGAUUCAUGAUAACUUCACGGAUCGCAUGGCCUUGCGCCGGCGACGGUUCAUUCAAAUUUCUGCCCUAUCAACUUUCGAUGGUAAGGUAUUGGCUUACCAUGGUUUCAACGGGUAACGGGGAAUUAGGGUUCGAUUCCGGAGAGGGAGCCUGAGAAACGGCUACCACAUCCAAGGAAGGCAGCAGGCGCGCAA
This 425-nucleotide ribosomal RNA is filed under the name Schizochytrium aggregatum. RNAcentral's name for it is "partial Eukaryotic small subunit ribosomal RNA". It matches the Rfam family "Eukaryotic small subunit ribosomal RNA", at positions 10 to 439 of the family's 1831-position model. The record is from RNAcentral. Lineage: Eukaryota; Bigyra; Thraustochytrida; Thraustochytriidae.